AUGAGCCGCCGCCUUGUCCCCGUCGACAGACGCAUCUUGGAGCAGAACAUCAAGGCUCGGUACCACGCCGGAGACAUUGGCACCCAGGAUGCACUCCACCUGUUUGACGAAUUGCUCCAGUGUGCUGGGUCCUCCUCGAUCCGUGCCAUCAACUAUCUCGUUACUACUGUCGGCCGUGAUUGCCCUGCGCUCGGCGUCUCCCUCUUCAACCGCGUCGCAAGUGCCAAUGUGGCACCAAACAGUAUCACGUACACCAUCCUCGUCGACUGCUGCUGCCGUGCUGGCCGCUUGGACCUCGGUUUCGCUGCCAUGGGCCACAUCAUCAAGAUGGGAUUUGCAGCAGAUGCUAUCGUCACUUUCAGCCACCUACUCAAUGCCAUCUGUGCGGAGAAGAAGACCAGCUAUGCAAUGGACAUCGUACUCCGAAUAAUGCCCAUGUUUAACUGUGUUCCGAACAUUUUCUCCUACAGCAUUCUUUUCAAGGGUCUCUGCAACGAGAAGAGAAGCCAAGAGGCUCUCGAGCUGAUUCAGGUGAUGGUUGAGCAUGGAGGUAGCUGCCAACCUAAUGUGGUGUCCUAUAGCACCGUAAUUGAUGGCUUGUUGAAAGAGGGUUUGGUGGGCAAGGCUUACAGUCUAUUCUGUGAAAUGCUACAGAGGGGAAUUUCGCCAAAUGCUGUGACCUGUAGUUCAAUCAUCUCUGGCAUGUGCAAGGCUCAAUCAAUGGACAAGUCUGAGGAGGUUCUUCAACAGAUGCUUGAUAGACGAAUUCUGCCAGAUGUUACCACAUAUAAUAGUCUGAUACAUGGAUAUUAUUCAUCAGGAAGGUGCAAAGAAGUUGAUCGGAUUUUCCAGGAAAUGUCUAGAAAUGGUGUUCAACCAAAUAUUGUAACUUACAAUAUACAGAUGGAUUAUCUUUGCAAGAGCGGAAGGUGCGCAGAAGCUAGGAAAAUAUUUGAUUCUAUGAUCGGUCUGGGCCAAAAACCAGAUGUUACUACCUACAGUAUUCUGCUUCAUGGGUCUGCCAUGGAAAAAUCUUUUCAUGAGAUGCAUUGUCUCAUUGAUUUGAUGGUGGGAAAUGGUAUCUCACCAGAUCAUCAUGUCUACAACAUACUCAUAUCUGCAUAUGCUAAAGAAGAAACGGUUGGUGAGGUAAUGCAUAUAUUUACAAAAAUGCGGCAGCAAGGACUGAACCCUAAUGUAGCAAACUAUGGAGCGGCAGUAAACUUGCUUUCCAAGAUUGGCCGAAUGGAUGAUGCUAUGUCCCAAUUCAAUCAAAUGAUAACUGAAGGGUUAGCUCCUGAUAUCAUAGUUUUCACCCCCCUUAUUAGUGGUUUCUGUUCUUGUGGCAAAUGGGAGAAGGUUGAUGAACUAUUUUCUGAGAUGUUGGAUCGCGGCAUAUGUCCCAACACAGUGUUCUUCAACACAAUUAUGGACCGCCUUUGCAAAAAUGAAAGGGUUAUGGAAGCCCAAGAUCUCUUCGACCUGAUGGUACACAUGGGUGUGAAGCCUGAUGUGUGUACUUAUAGCACACUGAUAGGUGGAUACUUGUUCGUUGGUAAGAUGGAUGAAGUGAGCAAGUUACUUGACAAUAUGGUCUCAAUUGGCAUGGAACCAGAUGUUAUCACCUAUAACAUACUGAUGCACCUCAUAUACCUCAUAUAUAUCCAUCUUGUCUGUUAUGUCCCAUGGACAUAUCUCAUU
Molecule: ribosomal RNA, 1701 nt
Filed under: Triticum aestivum (bread wheat)
Lineage: Eukaryota; Viridiplantae; Streptophyta; Magnoliopsida; Poales; Poaceae
Description: partial small subunit ribosomal RNA
Source: RNAcentral